RNAcentral lists this ribosomal RNA (253 nucleotides) under uncultured bacterium. Its description in RNAcentral is "partial 16S ribosomal RNA". It matches the Rfam family "Bacterial small subunit ribosomal RNA", at positions 524 to 776 of the family's 1533-position model. The record is from RNAcentral.
UACGGAGGGGGCAAACGUUGCUCGGAAUCAUUGGGCGUAAAGCGCACGUAGGCGGCCUGAUAAGUCGGGUGUGAAAGCCCUGGGCUCAACCCAGGAAGUGCACUCGAAACUGUCAGGCUUGAAUAUGGAAGAGGGUCGCGGAAUUCCCGGUGUAGAGGUGAAAUUCGUAGAUAUCGGGAGGAACACCAGUGGCGAAGGCGGCGACCUGGGCCAAUAUUGACGCUGAGGUGCGAAAGCGUGGGGAGCAAACAGG